AAUGGGUCAGCGACUUAUAUUCUGUAGCAAGGUUAACCGAAUAGGGGAGCCGAAGGGAAACCGAGUCUUAACUGGGCGUUAAGUUGCAGGGUAUAGACCCGAAACCCGGUGAUCUAGCCAUGGGCAGGUUGAAGGUUGGGUAACACUAACUGGAGGACCGAACCGACUAAUGUUGAAAAAUUAGCGGAUGACUUGUGGCUGGGGGUGAAAGGCCAAUCAAACCGGGAGAUAGCUGGUUCUCCCCGAAAGCUAUUUAGGUAGCGCCUCGUGAAUUCAUCUCCGGGGGUAGAGCACUGUUUCGGCAAGGGGGUCAUCCCGACUUACCAACCCGAUGCAAACUGCGAAUACCGGAGAAUGUUAUCACGGGAGACACACGGCGGGUGCUAACGUCCGUCGUGAAGAGGGAAACAACCCAGACCGCCAGCUAAGGUCCCAAAGUCAUGGUUAAGUGGGAAACGAUGUGGGAAGGCCCAGACAGCCAGGAUGUUGGCUUAGAAGCAGCCAUCAUUUAAAGAAAGCGUAAUAGCUCACUGGUCGAGUCGGCCUGCGCGGAAGAUGUAACGGGGCUAAACCAUGCACCGAAGCUGCGGCAGCGACGCUUAUGCGUUGUUGGGUAGGGGAGCGUUCUGUAAGCCUGUGAAGGUGUGCUGUGAGGCAUGCUGGAGGUAUCAGAAGUGCGAAUGCUGACAUAAGUAACGAUAAAGCGGGUGAAAAGCCCGCUCGCCGGAAGACCAAGGGUUCCUGUCCAACGUUAAUCGGGGCAGGGUGAGUCGACCCCUAAGGCGAGGCCGAAAGGCGUAGUCGAUGGGAAACAGGUUAAUAUUCCUGUACUUGGUGUUACUGCGAAGGGGGGACGGAGAAGGCUAUGUUGGCCGG
RNAcentral lists this ribosomal RNA (876 nucleotides) under Escherichia coli. RNAcentral describes it as "partial 23S ribosomal RNA". It matches the Rfam family "Bacterial large subunit ribosomal RNA", at positions 614 to 1494 of the family's 2925-position model. Lineage: Bacteria; Pseudomonadati; Pseudomonadota; Gammaproteobacteria; Enterobacterales; Enterobacteriaceae. The record is from RNAcentral.